GUAGGUGGCAAGCGUUGUCCGGAAUUAUUGGGCGUAAAGCGCGCGCAGGCGGGUUCUUUAAGUCUGAUGUGAAAGCCCACGGGCUCAACCGUGGAGGGUCAUUGGAAACUGGAGAACUUGAGUACAGAAGAGGAAAGCGGAAUUCCACGUGUAGCGGUGAAAUGCGUAGAGAUGUGGAGGAACACCAGUGGCGAAGGCGGCUUUCUGGUCUGUAACUGACGCUGAGGCGCGAAAGCGUGGGGAGCAAACAGGAUUAGAUACCCUGGGAGUCCACGCCGUAAACGACGAGUGCUAAGUGUUAGGGGGUUUCCGCCCCUUAGUGCUGCAGCUAACGCAUUAAGCACUCCGCCUGGGGAGUACGGCCGCAAGGCUG
This 373-nucleotide ribosomal RNA is filed under the name uncultured organism. Its description in RNAcentral is "partial 16S ribosomal RNA". It matches the Rfam family "Bacterial small subunit ribosomal RNA", at positions 527 to 896 of the family's 1533-position model. The record is from RNAcentral.